Molecule: ribosomal RNA, 330 nt
Filed under: uncultured eukaryote
Lineage: Eukaryota
Description: partial 18S ribosomal RNA
Rfam family: Eukaryotic small subunit ribosomal RNA
Source: RNAcentral
CCCUUAGAUGUUCUGGGCCGCACGCGCGCUACACUGAUGCAUUCAACGAGUCUAAAACCUGGUCUGAUAGGGCUGGGUAAUCUUUUGAAAGUGCAUCGUGAUUGGGAUAGAUGAUUGCAAUUCUUCAUCUUCAACGAGGAAUGCCUAGUAAACGCAAGUCAUCAGCUUGCAUUGAUUACGUCCCUGCCCUUUGUACACACCGCCCGUCGCUCCUACCGAUUGAAUGAUCCGAUGAAUACCAUGGAUUGAGAGUACGAAUAGGUUCGCUUAUUUCUGCUGCUCGAGAAGUGGAGUAAAUCUUAUCAUUUAGAGGAAGGUGAAGUCGUAACA